GAUGGGACCCCACAACAGACGCAUUUUCCUGAAGAUUUUCUUUCUCAAUCACUUUUAGAACAGCCAGCCCUGCAGCAGUACACACGGGAUUCCCCCCGAAUGUGUUGAAGUAACUUCGACGAGUCAAUAUUUCAGCAAUCUCAGGUGUUGUCACCACAGCACCAAGAGGAAUACCAUUCCCAAUACCCUUUGCCAUUGUCACUAUGUCAGGAACAACACCCUGGGCUUCAAAUCCCCAAAAAUGACUUCCAGUACGAGCAAAUCCAGCUUGAACCUCAUCGGCAAUACAAAGGCCUCCUGCUUUUUUAAUGCUUGUAUAAGCAGCAGGCAAGUAACCUGGGGCCAAUUCUACAAUUCCGCCCACUCCCUGUAUAGCUUCAGAUAUAAUUCCCCUUAGAAUGCUUAUACAAGUCCAACAAGAAGUCAAUUUAAGGGAGAUGGAAGUCCACAAAGAUCAUAAUUACCUGUAUAGCUUCAGAUAUAAAUCCAGCA
RNAcentral lists this unclassified non-coding RNA (492 nucleotides) under Hevea brasiliensis (rubber tree). The record is from RNAcentral. Lineage: Eukaryota; Viridiplantae; Streptophyta; Magnoliopsida; Malpighiales; Euphorbiaceae.